RNAcentral lists this long non-coding RNA (251 nucleotides) under Elaeis guineensis (African oil palm). Its description in RNAcentral is "long non-coding RNA (EGUI_LNC030536)". The record is from RNAcentral. Lineage: Eukaryota; Viridiplantae; Streptophyta; Magnoliopsida; Arecales; Arecaceae.
AGGCUGCACUCUAACUAUUGAUGGCUGCCAUAUUCUAAGAGAAAUGUGUCACUUACUCCAUAUCGAGAUCAUGCCAUUCUAUAGUUCCAUCAAGUCACGUCACUCCAUGUUGAGACCAUAUCACCCCAGCGACUAGUUGUGCACCAGCUAAAGUCACGUCAAUCUCAGAACCUCUAAUUGUAAUCUUAAGUCAUUAAUAAAAAAUAGCUGGCUACCUGUUAGAUAAGUUAAUAACACCCAUCAAAUCCAAG